GGACGAACGCUGGCGGCGUGCCUAAUACAUGCAAGUCGAACGAACUCUGGUAUUGAUUGGUGCUUGCAUCAUGAUUUACAUUUGAGUGAGUGGCGAACUGGUGAGUAACACGUGGGAAACCUGCCCAGAAGCGGGGGAUAACACCUGGAAACAGAUGCUAAUACCGCAUAACAACUUGGACCGCAUGGUCCGAGUUUGAAAGAUGGCUUCGGCUAUCACUUUUGGAUGGUCCCGCGGCGUAUUAGCUAGAUGGUGGGGUAACGGCUCACCAUGGCAAUGAUACGUAGCCGACCUGAGAGGGUAAUCGGCCACAUUGGGACUGAGACACGGCCCAAACUCCUACGGGAGGCAGCAGUAGGGAAUCUUCCACAAUGGACGAAAGUCUGAUGGAGCAACGCCGCGUGAGUGAAGAAGGGUUUCGGCUCGUAAAACUCUGUUGUUAAAGAAGAACAUAUCUGAGAGUAACUGUUCAGGUAUUGACGGUAUUUAACCAGAAAGCCACGGCUAACUACGUGCCAGCAGCCGCGGUAAUACGUAGGUGGCAAGCGUUGUCCGGAUUUAUUGGGCGUAAAGCGAGCGCAGGCGGUUUUUUAAGUCUGAUGUGAAAGCCUUCGGCUCAACCGAAGAAGUGCAUCGGAAACUGGGAAACUUGAGUGCAGAAGAGGACAGUGGAACUCCAUGUGUAGCGGUGAAAUGCGUAGAUAUAUGGAAGAACACCAGUGGCGAAAGGCGGCUGUCUGGUCUGUAACUGACGCUGAGGCUCGAAAGUAUGGGUAGCAAACAGGAUUAGAUACCCUGGUAGUCCAUACCGUAAACGAUGAAUGCUAAGUGUUGGAGGGUUUCCGCCCUUCAGUGCUGCAGCUAACGCAUUAAGCAUUCCGCCUGGGGAGUACGGCCGCAAGGCUGAAACUCAAAGGAAUUGACGGGGGCCCGCACAAGCGGUGGAGCAUGUGGUUUAAUUCGAAGCUACGCGAAGAACCUUACCAGGUCUUGACAUACUAUGCAAAUCUAAGAGAUUAGACGUUCCCUUCGGGGACAUGGAUACAGGUGGUGCAUGGUUGUCGUCAGCUCGUGUCGUGAGAUGUUGGGUUAAGUCCCGCAACGAGCGCAACCCUUAUUAUCAGUUGCCAGCAUUAAGUUGGGCACUCUGGUGAGACUGCCGGUGACAAACCGGAGGAAGGUGGGGAUGACGUCAAAUCAUCAUGCCCCUUAUGACCUGGGCUACACACGUGCUACAAUGGAUGGUACAACGAGUUGCGAACUCGCGAGAGUAAGCUAAUCUCUUAAAGCCAUUCUCAGUUCGGAUUGUAGGCUGCAACUCGCCUACAUGAAGUCGGAAUCGCUAGUAAUCGCGGAUCAGCAUGCCGCGGUGAAUACGUUCCCGGGCCUUG
Molecule: ribosomal RNA, 1391 nt
Filed under: uncultured Lactobacillus sp.
Lineage: Bacteria; Bacillati; Bacillota; Bacilli; Lactobacillales; Lactobacillaceae
Description: bacterial SSU rRNA
Rfam family: Bacterial small subunit ribosomal RNA
Source: RNAcentral